ACUGAGUGGCGGACGGGUGAGUAACGCGUGGGUAACCUGCCCUGUACUGGGGGACAACAGUUAGAAAUGACUGCUAAUACCGCAUAAGCGCACAGGACCGCAUGGUCCGGUGUGAAAAACUCCGGUGGUACAGGAUGGACCCGCGUCUGAUUAGGUAGUUGGCGGGGUAACGGCCCACCAAGCCGACGAUCAGUAGCCGACCUGAGAGGGUGACCGGCCACAUUGGGACUGAGACACGGCCCAAACUCCUACGGAAGGCAGCAG
RNAcentral lists this ribosomal RNA (264 nucleotides) under uncultured bacterium. RNAcentral's name for it is "partial 16S ribosomal RNA". It matches the Rfam family "Bacterial small subunit ribosomal RNA", at positions 90 to 354 of the family's 1533-position model. The record is from RNAcentral.